Molecule: transfer RNA, 77 nt
Filed under: Halobacteriovoraceae bacterium
Lineage: Bacteria; Pseudomonadati; Bdellovibrionota; Bacteriovoracia; Bacteriovoracales; Halobacteriovoraceae
Description: tRNA-Arg
Rfam family: tRNA
About the family: Transfer RNA (tRNA) molecules are approximately 80 nucleotides in length. Their secondary structure includes four short double-helical elements and three loops (D, anti-codon, and T loops). Further hydrogen bonds mediate the characteristic L-shaped molecular structure. tRNAs have two regions of fundamental functional importance: the anti-codon, which is responsible for specific mRNA codon recognition, and the 3' end, to which the tRNAs corresponding amino acid is attached (by aminoacyl-tRNA synthetases). tRNAs cope with the degeneracy of the genetic code in two manners: having more than one tRNA (with a specific anti-codon) for a particular amino acid; and 'wobble' base-pairing, i.e. permitting non-standard base-pairing at the 3rd anti-codon position.
Source: RNAcentral
GCGGGGUUAGCUCAGCUGGAUAGAGUAGCUGGCUUCGAACCAGUUGGUCGGGAGUUCGAAUCUCUCACCCCGCGCCA